GUGGGGAAUAUUGGACAAUGGGCGCAAGCCUGAUCCAGCCAUGCCGCGUGAGUGAUGAAGGCCUUAGGGUUGUAAAGCUCUUUCACCGAUGAAGAUAAUGACGGUAGUCGGAGAAGAAGCCCCGGCUAACUUCGUGCCAGCAGCCGCGGUAAUACGAAGGGGGCUAGCGUUGUUCGGAAUUACUGGGCGUAAAGCGCACGUAGGCGGACAUUUAAGUCAGGGGUGAAAUCCCGGGGCUCAACCCCGGAACUGCCUUUGAUACUGGGUGUCUGGAGUAUGGAAGAGGUAAGUGGAAUUCCGAGUGUAGAGGUGAAAUUCGUAGAUAUUCGGAGGAACACCAGUGGCGAAGGCGGCUUACUGGUCCAUUACUGACGCUGAGGUGCGAAAGCGUGGGGAGCAAACAGGAUUAGAAACCCCAGUAGUCC
Molecule: ribosomal RNA, 425 nt
Filed under: uncultured bacterium
Lineage: Bacteria
Description: bacterial SSU rRNA
Rfam family: Bacterial small subunit ribosomal RNA
Source: RNAcentral